This 434-nucleotide ribosomal RNA is filed under the name uncultured bacterium. Its description in RNAcentral is "partial 16S ribosomal RNA". It matches the Rfam family "Bacterial small subunit ribosomal RNA", at positions 29 to 507 of the family's 1533-position model. The record is from RNAcentral.
AGCGAACGCUGGCGGCAGGCCUAACACAUGCAAGUCGAACGAACCCUUCGGGGUUAGUGGCGGACGGGUGAGUAACACGUGGGAACGUGCCUUUAGGUUCGGAAUAACUCAGGGAAACUUGUGCUAAUACCGAAUGUGCCCUUUGGGGGAAAGAUUUAUCGCCUUUAGAGCGGCCCGCGUCUGAUUAGCUAGUUGGUUGAGGUAAUGGCUCACCAAGGCGACGAUCAGUAGCUGGUCUGAGAGGAUGAUCAGCCACAUUGGGACUGAGACACGGCCCAAACUCCUACGGGAGGCAGCAGUGGGGAAUCUUGCGCAAUGGGCGAAAGCCUGACGCAGCCAUGCCGCGUGAAUGAUGAAGGUCUUAGGAUUGUAAAAUUCUUUCACCGGGGACGAUAAUGACGGUACCCGGAGAAGAAGCCCCGGCUAACUUCGUG